GACGAACGCUGGCGGCGUGCUUAACACAUGCAAGUCGAACGGUGAAGCGCCUUCCUUUUUGGUGGGUGUGGAUGAGUGGCGAACGGGUGAGUAACACGUGAGUAACCUGCCCCCUUCUUCUGGAUAACCGCAUGAAAGUGUUGCUAAUACGGGAUAUUCUGGGUCUGUCGCAUGAUGGGUCUGGGAAAGAUAUUGUUUCGCUGGGGGAUGGGUUCGCGCCCUAUCAGCUUGUUGGUGGGGUGAUGGCCUACCAAGGCGGUGACGGGUAGCCGGCCUGAGAGGGUGGACGGUCACAGUGGGGCGGCGCGGCGGCGCAGACUCCGAGGGGAGGCAGCAGUGGGGAAUAUGGCACAAUGGGCGCAAGCCUGAUGCAGCGACGCCGCGUGAGUGAUGGAGUCCGUCGGGUUGUGAACCUCUUUCGCCAGUGAAGCAGGGCUGCCUCGUUUGUGGGUGGGUUGACGGUAGCUGGACAAGAAGCGCCGGCUAACUACGUG
This 494-nucleotide ribosomal RNA is filed under the name uncultured bacterium. Its description in RNAcentral is "partial 16S ribosomal RNA". It matches the Rfam family "Bacterial small subunit ribosomal RNA", at positions 28 to 507 of the family's 1533-position model. The record is from RNAcentral.